Molecule: non-coding RNA, 21 nt
Filed under: Caenorhabditis elegans
Lineage: Eukaryota; Metazoa; Nematoda; Chromadorea; Rhabditida; Rhabditidae
Source: RNAcentral
UCCCGUCUCCAAAGACUAUUU